Molecule: unclassified non-coding RNA, 249 nt
Filed under: Hevea brasiliensis (rubber tree)
Lineage: Eukaryota; Viridiplantae; Streptophyta; Magnoliopsida; Malpighiales; Euphorbiaceae
Source: RNAcentral
AUGGAACUCCUUAAUUUGCUAUAGAACACUAAUGUGCUUUGUAAGCAACAAAUAAUCCUUUCACCUUUUUUCUGCACCAAGUUAAAACAACAUGGUUAUGAUUCCCUAAAAUGAUAGUGUGGUUUAGCAAUUUAAAUUCAUUAUUCAAAUAUUCAACAAAACAUUUUGGUUCUAUGUAGGCAGGAUAUAUAGUGCUUUAAUUUUUAACUUGCCCAAUAAAGCAAAAGUUGAUGGUAUAGAGGAAAAAAA